AGUCAGGGGGGAAGUGGGCUGA
This 22-nucleotide microRNA is filed under the name Drosophila ananassae. RNAcentral describes it as "Dan-Novel-16_3p (mature (guide))". The record is from RNAcentral. Lineage: Eukaryota; Metazoa; Arthropoda; Insecta; Diptera; Drosophilidae.